AGGGAUUUAAGUUAAAAAAACUAAUAGCCUUCAAAGCUUUAAUUGAUACUCAACAAUCAAUCCUUA
This 66-nucleotide transfer RNA is filed under the name Popenaias popeii. RNAcentral describes it as "tRNA-Trp". The record is from RNAcentral. Lineage: Eukaryota; Metazoa; Mollusca; Bivalvia; Unionida; Unionidae.